UACAGAGGUCUCGAGCGUUGUUCGGAUUCAUUGGGCGUAAAGGGUGUGUAGGUGGCGCGCUAAGUCGGGUGUGAAAUUUCGGAGCUUAACUCCGAAACUGCAUUCGAUACUGGCGUGCUUGAGGACUGGAGAGGAGACUGGAAUUCAUGGUGUAGCAGUGAAAUGCGUAGAGAUCGGGAGGAACACCAGAGGCGAAGGCGGCGACCUGGACAGUUACUGACACUCAACUACGAAAGCGUGGGGAGCAAACAGG
This 253-nucleotide ribosomal RNA is filed under the name uncultured bacterium. RNAcentral's name for it is "partial 16S ribosomal RNA". It matches the Rfam family "Bacterial small subunit ribosomal RNA", at positions 524 to 776 of the family's 1533-position model. The record is from RNAcentral.